RNAcentral lists this transfer RNA (72 nucleotides) under Vicinamibacteria bacterium. Its description in RNAcentral is "tRNA-Lys". It matches the Rfam family "tRNA". From Rfam's summary of the family: Transfer RNA (tRNA) molecules are approximately 80 nucleotides in length. Their secondary structure includes four short double-helical elements and three loops (D, anti-codon, and T loops). Lineage: Bacteria; Pseudomonadati; Acidobacteriota; Vicinamibacteria. The record is from RNAcentral.
GUGCCUGUAGCUCAAUGGUAGAGCAGCGGCCUUUUAAGCCGUUGGUUGGGGGUUCGAGCCCCCCCGGGCGCA